ACAGAGGUGGCAAGCGUUGUUCGGAUUCACUGGGCGUAAAGGGUGCGUAGGCGGUUCUGAAAGUCUGAUGUGAAAUCUCCAGGCCCAACCUGGAAAUGGCAUUAGAAACUACAGGGCUAGAGGCUUGGAGGGGGAACUGGAAUGCUCGGUGUAGCAGUGAAAUGCGUAGAGAUCGAGCGGAACACCAGUGGCGAAGGCGAGUUCCUGGACAAGUCCUGACGCUGAGGCACGAAAGCCGGGGGAGCAAACAGGA
Molecule: ribosomal RNA, 253 nt
Filed under: uncultured prokaryote
Description: partial 16S ribosomal RNA
Rfam family: Bacterial small subunit ribosomal RNA
Source: RNAcentral